GCACUGCCGUGCAGUCCCACAAUAGGACGAAACGGCCGUCCGGUAC
Molecule: non-coding RNA, 46 nt
Filed under: Schistosoma mattheei
Lineage: Eukaryota; Metazoa; Platyhelminthes; Trematoda; Strigeidida; Schistosomatidae
Source: RNAcentral